UGCGUAGGCGGUCCGGAAAGUUGGGUGUGAAAUCCCUCGGCUUAACCGAGGAAUGGCGCUCAAAACUGUCGGACUAGAGGAAGGCAGAGGUGAGCGGAACUUGCGGUGGAGCGGUGAAUGCGUUGAUAUCGCAAGGAACACCAGUAGCGAAAGCGGCUCACUGGGCCUUUUCUGACGCUCAGGCACGAAAGCUAGGGGAGCGAACG
This 206-nucleotide ribosomal RNA is filed under the name uncultured bacterium. RNAcentral's name for it is "partial 16S ribosomal RNA". It matches the Rfam family "Bacterial small subunit ribosomal RNA", at positions 568 to 774 of the family's 1533-position model. The record is from RNAcentral.